CUGAGUGCUUCGUGACCCAGGAGAGGAGGAAAGGGGUGUAAAGGGAUAGUUCACCCAAAUUACAUUUUGGCGUCCUUACCCUUUAAAUCCAAAGGCCUCAUUUGGAAGCGACACAAUGGCACAUACAGCACUGUAAAGAUAAGACCGACAAGCUACAGCACUGUAGAGGUAAAGACGACAGGCUACAGCACUGUAGAGGUAAAGACGACAGACAGGCUACAGCGCUGUGGAGGUAAAGACGACAGACAGGCUACAGCGCUGUGGAGGUAAAGACGACAGACAGGCUACAGCGCUGUAGAGGUAAAGACGACAGACAGGCUACAGCGCUGUGGAGGUAAAGACGACAGACAGGCUACAGCACUGUGGAGGUCAAGAGGACAGACAGGCUACAGCGCUGUGGAGGUCAAGACGACAGGCAGG
Oncorhynchus tshawytscha (Chinook salmon) is the source of this 420-nucleotide long non-coding RNA. NCBI's taxonomy places the organism in Eukaryota, Metazoa, Chordata, Actinopteri, Salmoniformes, Salmonidae. The record is from Ensembl.